RNAcentral lists this ribosomal RNA (490 nucleotides) under Sulfitobacter sp. Ar-70. RNAcentral's name for it is "bacterial SSU rRNA". It matches the Rfam family "Bacterial small subunit ribosomal RNA", at positions 100 to 624 of the family's 1533-position model. The record is from RNAcentral. Lineage: Bacteria; Pseudomonadati; Pseudomonadota; Alphaproteobacteria; Rhodobacterales; Roseobacteraceae.
GGACGGGUUUAGUAACGCGUGGGAACAUACCCUUUUCUACGGAAUAGCCUCGGGAAACUGAGAGUAAUACCGUAUAAGCCCUUCGGGGGAAAGAUUUAUCGGGAAAGGAUUGGCCCGCGUUAGAUUAGAUAGUUGGUGGGGUAAUGGCCUACCAAGUCUACGAUCUAUAGCUGGUUUUAGAGGAUGAUCAGCAACACUGGGACUGAGACACGGCCCAGACUCCUACGGGAGGCAGCAGUGGGGAAUCUUAGACAAUGGGCGCAAGCCUGAUCUAGCCAUGCCGCGUGUGUGAUGAAGGUCUUAGGAUCGUAAAGCACUUUCGCCAGGGAUGAUAAUGACAGUACCUGGUAAAGAAACCCCGGCUAACUCCGUGCCAGCAGCCGCGGUAAUACGGAGGGGGUUAGCGUUGUUCGGAAUUACUGGGCGUAAAGCGUACGUAGGCGGAUUGGAAAGUUGGGGGUGAAAUCCCAGGGCUCAACCCUGGAACUGC